CUCUGGGCAAAGGGGCACUCAUGCUUGUCCUCUCGGCUACUGUUCUCCAACACGAACUAAGGCAGUGGGAAUAGAGGAUGGCAACAGGACUCCAUGGAGACCCUGAAGGGGGUCAAGUGGUGUCCGCAUCCGUGGCUCCAGCAACCCCAGUGUAAGAGCCUGCAGCACAUACAAGUGGUGAGCCAUCUCAUCGCCCAUGGGAGCCGCACUGUGGAUGAUAUUCUGGAAAACAGCCAGGCUUGAAUAAGACUCACUGGGAAAGGAGGACUGGGGAGAAGGUCUCCCUGGCCUGGUCCAUCCUACCUUGUAGAUGAACUGGCGAAGAUUCCUCUGCCAUAGGUAGUCAAGCAUAUGCUGCAGUGGGCGAGAAGGGGUUUCAAUGAUUUUGCUCUUAGCUGGAAUACAGCACCCACCAGCUGCUCUUCUUCAUUCGGUCACCCUGGACAGAAACACUCACCUUCCGUUCAGCAGGGCUGGCCCCCUGCAGCAGGGCUGUCAGCAAAGCCAUAGCCUUGGUUUGCAGCUGCUGGUUCAUUCUACGGCAAGAGGAGGAACAGGCUCAGCCGUGCAUCUCGAGGCCAGUUCUGCAUGUCCCCAUUCCCACUGUGCCCUAGAGGCUUACACCUGCAGGUGCACCAGCAGCCUAUCCAGUGGCACCUCACUCUUCACCAGCUGGCCCAGGGCAGGGCUGCUCAAAGUCACACUCUCCAGCAGCCUGAGGGCUAAGGGCUGCACAGAGGCAUCCAUCAGGUUCAUGUUCACAUAAGAUACCACCUGUAAGGGACAGAGGGUGUCAUUACCAUUCACAGGGGCUAGAUGUGGGCACUGCUCCACUGCCCCUGGAAGAGAACACACACCUUCCUGACAAAGGGGAUGCUGAGUGUCUCCCAGGACACCACGCCGUGUUCCAUGAGCUCCAAGAAAGCCCUUAGACCAAGGGCCAGCAUCUCCCCUAGGCUACAAAGAAUACCUGGGGAUGAGUAGGAUCAGACCAAGAUUCCUAAGCCCUGCUAUGUCACCCAGCCCACCACAGACGGCCCUGUGCUCACUCAUCCCCAUUUUCAAUGAUGGCGCUUAGUCUCUGAAGCCCAUCACGGCUGAUGACCUCCUGGGCAAAGGUCAUGUCUGAGGCCAGCAGGACCAGGUUUUUCAGGGCUUGAUAGCACCCUUCACGACUUGUACUCUGCAACCCACCCAGCAGCUGCUGGGCCUCCAGGUCCUAGCAGGAGCAGUAAAGAGAUGAAGUGGUUAGACUAGAAUGUUACUGGAACUGCAAGUGUGAUGGCCUGGGUGUCCACUAGGUGGGGCACUAAGGAGCUGGGGCCUCCAGACCCGAGGCAGAAGCCACUAGGCAGGCAGCAAAGGGACCCAGCAGAGGGGGAGGAGAGGAGAGGGCUGAAAGGGGCAUUACUGGGGCAGUGCUGAGGCACAGGAUGCUUCCAUUCUUGAUCUCCGUGCGGUUCUGGAGGAAACAGCAGAAAGGAGCAAAGUUAAAGAGGGCUCUAGGAAAUGGUCAACCGGAUCAUCUGUUGGGGGGUCAGUAAAAGAACUCACAUUCGGAGCAGUGAGAAUAAAUAUAUUGAAUUAAAGCCAGGUGGGUUAAAGGGGCCCUGUGCAGUGUGGGUCUGGGAGGGGGCUCACAUUCUCUGUGAUGAAUCUCUUGUGCCCAUCAGCAAACUUCAGGGCAUAGCGCUCGGAGUCAGUCACGUUCCACCUGUGGGACAGGAAGCUCAGCGAGCGAAGUCCAGGGUCACCUCUCCCACCUGUCCCUGCCCUUCUCCCACUUUUGCCUAUUCUUACUUACACAUCACACACCUCCUUCAGCACAGUGGCCAGGGGCUUUGCCUGCAAGUGGAGUUGUCACUGAAGGCGUUAGGGUAAGGAGUUGGGAUGAGGGACUUCUAAGAGGGGUGGGUUGGGCUAGCCCGAGGGAAGAGGAACAAUCCAGAAGUGGGAGGGGGAGUUCGGACAGUCCCGUUGACCUGGUCUAGCUGGAUAAGCUGUGGGAUGGCGUCAGACUUCUGAACGGCGAUCUUCACCACGUUCCUUGGGGGCGCCAUAGUCCUGCCGCUGUGACCGUCGGCACUUUGCACAACUGUGCCACCUCCCGCCGAGGGUGCACCUCGUCUGGGGCUAGGUCCUCCCUCUGUCUAAAGCCUGGCCCCGGGGGCCUGCACUCACAGUUCAGGUUACCACUGGGCUCCAAGGCCUUCCUAAAGGAGCCUGUUAGUUCCGGGUUAAUCUCAGGGGUAGGAGGGUAGGACCCAGCCUGCCCUGACCCGUUCCGCCCCACUGAGAAGGCCUGGCCCCGCCCACGCCAAGGUGCAGCCGGUGAAGACUGGGAGGGCAGGCAUCCUACACAGCGGCCACACCUCCCAUUCCAGUAAGGUGACCCACCCAGUUGCAACAACCCAGCAGUCCCAGGGAGGAGCCCCAAAGAAACAGAUCAGAGAUAGCCUUAGGCAUGUCUUUAUUCACUUGGAUGCUGUACAAAUAUUACAAUUUCCUUUUGCUGAAAAAAGUAUAAAAAUAAUCUUUAUAUAGGAA
Long non-coding RNA from Peromyscus californicus insignis, 2547 nucleotides. RefSeq lists it as uncharacterized. The record is from RefSeq and is a predicted model, not a curated record. The transcript has 2 exons. Lineage: Eukaryota; Metazoa; Chordata; Mammalia; Rodentia; Cricetidae.